Long non-coding RNA from Diceros bicornis minor, 2044 nucleotides. RefSeq lists it as uncharacterized. The record is from RefSeq and is a predicted model, not a curated record. Lineage: Eukaryota; Metazoa; Chordata; Mammalia; Perissodactyla; Rhinocerotidae. The transcript is spliced from 3 exons.
ACACUUACACUACACUUGGUAAUUUUGUAAACUACAGCUAUUUUGAUUGGUUGACUGUCACAGUUUGGGCACGAUUUUAAAUUAUUUGAAGUAUAUUUUUGCACUAUAUGUUUCUUAAUUUUGUGAGAACAUUGUUUUUACCAGGAUGCUAUGGUCUACCAAAUUUGUGUUUGUGCUUACAUCACAAAAACAACUACUUUUAUCUUCAAUGAUGAACUUGUUAACUGAAUUUGCCAUAGCAAUCACACUAUGGUCAGCUGUUGCACUGAAGACAGAAUAAACUUCCAAAAGCUUUCCUCUUUUCCAGAAUGCAUGUGAGGAAUCAAAUGAUUAUUGGUCUUCACUUACCUGACUUCUCUUUGACGCAUCUGAUGGCAGUGAUCACUCAACUCUUUGCAAAUCUAUGCUAAUGAGCAGUGUGGUACCAUCUUCUGAAAAUAUGAAAUUUUGAAACAGAUGUUGAUGCUUCUUGGGCAGAUUGAUGUCUUCUCGUAUUCACGUGGUCGGUGAUUGACCAUGGCGCCCGUGGUGGAUGCUUCAGCUGCAUUUUGAUCUGGAACACCUUGGCUGUUGUGUGAAGAGCCAGCAGUGAGAAGGAGCAUGUCUGCAGGCCAUUCCCAUUUCUGUCAAGGGAGUUGUAGGGUGGAGCAGCAUGGGUGUGGUUACCCAGGCUGUACCCAUGCUGAGAACCUCAAGAAUCUGAGUCCAUUUUCAGGACUCCCUGGGGACAGAUUAGUUUAAAGUGGAAUUCCCAUGCUAAUCCUAGAAACACAGUAACUCACUUUUAUACAGAGCUUUGUCAUGUAAGAACAUGUUCCCUGGCAGCAGGGAGAUUGGUUAUCUUUACUAUACAGAUGACAAAAACUGAGUUUUGUAGAGGUUAAAUGAGCUAGCCAGAGGUCACAAAACAACUAAGGGGCAGAGCUGGGGAUUGCACCCAGGUGUCCUAAUUCCCAGGUCUACUUUACUAGGUGUGUCUUGAUAUUCUCUCAACAGACCAGGGCGGAAGCCAGAACCCAGGCAAGGUCUUACCAGCCUCAGCUGGGACCUGAAGGGCUAUCAGGGGACCACUCUCUAGGACUGGGAGGGCAAGGAAAGCUUGACACAGAAAUUUACUCCUCACUGUGAAUUUACUUCACCGUGCAUAUCACAAGAUACCUUCUAAAUACUUUCCUGUCAGUCUUUUUGCAUUUUUCAUCUUCUUGGUCUUUUGCUCAUUAUCAAGUGUUAUGAUCCUUGUCUAUGGAAAUAAGCCCUGGUUAGAGUCAAUUUUCUGACAUCUCCCAUCUCCCAGUACUAUGCUCUACUUCAUACAUCCAAUAUUAGAGCAAAAAUCCACGACCAGCUUUAUAUGUAUAAUAAUCUAUAACUAUGACACAGCAGAAAAAUAUGAGAUCCUGGCACAAGCAAUGCUUAAAGUUAAAAAAUUCCAAGUUCUAGAUCUGCUUAUGAUCCUCGUUGCGGAGGUUCCUUGGACCAAUUACACAAUUUCCCCUAUGUGAUAUUUUUAGAAAUCAUGAUUCUGAUAUAGUUGUAUAUUUUCAAAUUUCAAGUAUGUUUUCAUCCAUUUUUCUUAAUAAAGGUGUUCAGUUUUCUUCCUUUGAAGACAACCUUGCACAGCAUGUAGUUAUUUCAUUGGCUCAACAGUGAUGUCAUACUCAAAGUACACAGCCUUGUUGCCAAGUUUCCUGGUGAAGUAAUUGUCGGUUGGUAUUUAAGAACCCACAUUGAUUGAAACUAUUUCUCAUGAUGUCACCCUGUGUCAGGGCAGGGGUCCAGAAGAUAGGAUUGCUUCUGACCUUCAGGGCACAGAAAUGUGCAAUUAGCUACCUUUUGGCAAAAUGCCCUUGAGAUACACAAAUGAGGUUAAGAGGUACAUUUGAACAAUUCCAUUAAAGUACUUUUUAAUUUUUAAUUUAUGAUUUUCCCAAUUCUAUCCAGUCCCUUUCUGAGGAUGAAGUUUUUUUUUCUUUUAUCAUGAAAAAUUUCAAACAUAUGAAAGAGUCAAACAUAGAGAGAAUUGUUUGAAAACCCACAAACCUCU